CGAACGUUAGCGGCGGGCUUAACACAUGCAAGUCGAGCGAGAACGGGACCUUCGGGUCCUUAUUAGAGCGGCGCACGGGUGAGUAACACGUGGGUAACCUGCCCUCCGGAGGGGGACAACCACUCGAAAGGGUGGCUAAUACCGCAUCCGUCGUCCGGGUCUGCGGACCUGGACGGGAAAGUUGGGGAUGCCUUCGGGCACCUGACACCGGAGGAGGGGCCCGCGUCGCAUCAGCUUGUUGGUGGGGUAAUGGCCUACCAAGGCUUAGACGCGUAGCUGGUCUGAGAGGAUGAUCAGCCACACUGGGACUGAGACACGGCCCAGACUCCUACGGGAGGCAGCAGUGGGGAAUAUUGGACAAUGGGCGAAAGCCUGAUCCAGCCACGCCGCGUGAGUGAUGAAGGCCUUCGGGUCGUAAAGCUCUGUGGAGAGGGACGAAAAUAUGCGGGUUAAUACCCCGUAGACUUGACGGUACCUCCUUAGCAAGCACCGGCUAACUCC
RNAcentral lists this ribosomal RNA (501 nucleotides) under uncultured bacterium. Its description in RNAcentral is "bacterial SSU rRNA". It matches the Rfam family "Bacterial small subunit ribosomal RNA", at positions 30 to 504 of the family's 1533-position model. The record is from RNAcentral.